RNAcentral lists this long non-coding RNA (1509 nucleotides) under Salmo salar (Atlantic salmon). Its description in RNAcentral is "lncRNA (ENSSSAG00000092673.1, ENSSSAG00000113893.1)". Lineage: Eukaryota; Metazoa; Chordata; Actinopteri; Salmoniformes; Salmonidae. The record is from RNAcentral.
GUAGUAGUAGUAAUGAUGAUGGUAGUGAUAGCAGUUUAUUGAUGGUGGUGGUAGUAGUAAAAAUGAUGAAUGUAGUGAUAGCAGUUUAGUGAUCUAGUGGUGGUAGUAGUAGUAAUGAUGAUGGUAGUGAUAGCAGUUUAGUGAUGGUGGAGGUGGUAGUAUUAGUAGUAAUGAUGAUGGUAGUGAUACUAGUUUAGUGACGGUGAAGGUAAUAGUAAUGAUGAUGGUAGUGACACCAGUUUAGUGGUGGUGGUAGUGAUAGCGGUUAAGUGAUGGUGGUGGUAGUAGCAGUAAUGAUGAUGGUAGUGAUCGCAGUUUAGUGAUGGUGGUGGUAGUAGUAGUAAUGAUUAUGGUAGUUAUAGCAGUUUAGUGAUGGUGGUGGUGGUAGUAUUAGUAGUAAUGAUGAUGGUAGUGAUACCAGUUUAGUGACGGUGAAGGUAAUAGUAAUGAUGAUUGUAGUGACACCAGUUUAGUGGUGGUGGUAGUGAUAGCAGUUAAGUGAUGGUGGUGGUAGUAAUAGUAAUGAUGAUGGUAGUGAUAGCAGUUUAGUGACGUGGUGGUAGUAGUAGAAUUGAAGAUGGUAGUGAUAGCAGUUUAGUGAUGGUGGUAGCAGUAGUAAUGAUGAUGGUAGAGAUAGCAGUUUAGUGAUGGUGGUGGUGGUGGUGGUAGUAGUAGUAAUGAUGAUGGUAGUGAUAGCAGUUUAGUGAUGGUGGUGGUAGUACUACUAAUGAUGAUGGUAUUGAAAGCAGUUUAGUGAAGGGUGGUGGUGGUGGUAGUAGUAGUAAUGAUGAUGGUAGUGAUAGCAGUUUAGUGAUUGCUGUGGUAGUAGUAAUGAUGAUGGUAGUGAUAGCAGUUUAGUGAUGGUGGCGGUAGUAGUAGUAAUGAUGAUGGUAGUGAUAGCAGUUUAGUGAUGGUGGUGGUAGUAGUUGUAAUGAUGAUGGUAGUGAUAGCAGUUUAGUGACGGUGGUAGCAGUAGUAAUGAUGAUGGUAGUUAUAGCAGUUUAGUGAUGGUGCUGUUGGUAGUAGUAGUAAUGAUGAUGGUAGUGAUAGCAGUUUAGUGAUGGUUGUGGUAGUAGUAGUAAUGAUGAUGUUAGUGAUAGCCGUUUAGUGAUGGUCGUGGUAGUAGUAGUAAUGAUGAUGGUAGUGAUAGCAGUUUAGUGAUGGUGGUGGUAGUAGUAGUAAUGAUGAUGGUAGUGAUAGCAGUUUAGUGAUGGUUGUUGUAGUAGUAGUAAUGAUGAUGGUAGUGAUAGCCGUUUAGUGAUGGUGGUGGUGUCGGUCGUAAUGAUGAUGGUAGUGAUAGCAGUUUAGUGAUGGUGGUGGUAGUAGUAGUAAUGAUGAUGGAAGUGAUAGCAGUUUAGUGAUGGUGGUGGUGGUAGUAGUAAUAAUGAUGAUGGCAUUGAUAGCAGUUUAGUGAUGGUGGUGGUAGUAGUAGUAAUGAUGAUGGUUGUGAUAGCAGUUUAGUGAUGGUAGUGGUAAUAGUAGUGAUGAUGAUGGUAGUGAUAGCAGUUU